This 62-nucleotide transfer RNA is filed under the name Fuelleborniella sp. FuspCA. RNAcentral's name for it is "tRNA-Gly". Lineage: Eukaryota; Metazoa; Arthropoda; Insecta; Psocodea; Caeciliusidae. The record is from RNAcentral.
AUUUAUUUAGUAUAAUUAAUAUAUUUGACUUCCAAUCAAAAGAUCUUUUACAAGAAUAAAUA